CGUUUGCCGUGAAAACCUGCGGCUUAACCGUGGGCGUGCGGUGGAUACGGGCACACUUGAGUUCGGUAGGGGAGACUGGAAUUCCUGGUGUAGCGGUGGAAUGCGCAGAUAUCAGGAGGAACACCAGUGGCGAAGGCGGGUCUUUGGGCCGAAACUGACGCUGAGGAGCGAAAGCGUGGGGAGCGAACAGGAUUAGAUACCCUGGUAGACACGCCGUA
Molecule: ribosomal RNA, 218 nt
Filed under: uncultured actinomycete
Lineage: Bacteria; Bacillati; Actinomycetota; Actinomycetes; Actinomycetales
Description: partial 16S ribosomal RNA
Rfam family: Bacterial small subunit ribosomal RNA
Source: RNAcentral